AUACGGAGGGUGCAAGCGUUACUCGGAAUCACUGGGCGUAAAGCGCGCGCAGGCGGCUUGAUAAGUUGGAUGUGAAAGCCUACGGCUCAACCGUAGAACUGCAUCCAAAACUGUCAGGCUAGAGUGUGAGAGAGGAAAAUGGAAUUAGUUGUGUAGGGGUAAAAUCCGUAGAGAUAACUAGGAAUACCAAAAGCGAAGGCAAUCUUCUGGAACACUACUGACGCUGAGGCGCGAAGGCGUGGGGAGCAAACAGAAUUAGAAACCCCGGUAGUCC
RNAcentral lists this ribosomal RNA (274 nucleotides) under uncultured bacterium. RNAcentral's name for it is "partial 16S ribosomal RNA". It matches the Rfam family "Bacterial small subunit ribosomal RNA", at positions 523 to 796 of the family's 1533-position model. The record is from RNAcentral.